ACGAACGCUGGCGGCGUGCUUAACACAUGCAAGUCGAACGGAAAGGCCCUGCUUUUGUGGGGUGCUCGAGUGGCGAACGUGUGAGUAACACGUGAGUAACCUGCCCUUGACUUUGGGAUAACUUCAGGAAACUGGGGCUAAUACCGGAUAGGAGCUCCUGCUGCAUGGUGGGGGUUGGAAAGUUUCGGCGGUUGGGGAUGGACUCGCGGCUUAUCAGCUUGUUGGUGGGGUAGUGGCUUACCAAGGCUUUGACGGGUAGCCGGCCUGAGAGGGUGACCGGCCACAUUGGGACUGAGAUACGGCCCAGACUCCUACGGGAGGCAGCAGUGGGGAAUAUUGCACAAUGGGCGGAAGCCUGAUGCAGCAACGCCGCGUGCGGGAUGACGGCCUUCGGGUUGUAAACCGCUUUCGCCUGUGACGAAGCGUGAGUGACGGUAAUGGGUAAAGAAGCACCGGCUAACUACGUG
Molecule: ribosomal RNA, 467 nt
Filed under: uncultured bacterium
Lineage: Bacteria
Description: partial 16S ribosomal RNA
Rfam family: Bacterial small subunit ribosomal RNA
Source: RNAcentral